GUCUGCGGUUGACGCUGUACUCGGUGCACGCGGUGUCGGCCAUCCUGUCGACGGUCGGCCAGCGCGCUGCAUACCAUUUCGAUAAACCGCUGCUGCAUCUGCCAUGGCUGCUGUUCACUGCGCAGGGACUGCUCCUGCGGCAGGGACCGGACGUCAUCUGCCUGGCCAGAAACACCCUCGACUGGGGGGCUGGUCUCGCCUUUCUUCUCGCUUGCGUUACUGUCUACUGCCAGCAAGUAGCCCUCUGGCUGCAGGUGAGCCGCUCGUUCGUAGCCAAGCGGCCGGAGUGGGUCCUGUGCAGGCUUCUGCUGAACGGGAGGCGUGCCGGCUGAUCUCGAUCUACUGCUAACA
This is a long non-coding RNA of Frankliniella occidentalis (western flower thrips), 351 nucleotides long. RefSeq lists it as uncharacterized. The record is from RefSeq and is a predicted model, not a curated record. Lineage: Eukaryota; Metazoa; Arthropoda; Insecta; Thysanoptera; Thripidae. The transcript is spliced from 3 exons.